This 464-nucleotide ribosomal RNA is filed under the name Vreelandella stevensii. RNAcentral's name for it is "partial 16S ribosomal RNA". It matches the Rfam family "Bacterial small subunit ribosomal RNA", at positions 339 to 795 of the family's 1533-position model. The record is from RNAcentral. Lineage: Bacteria; Pseudomonadati; Pseudomonadota; Gammaproteobacteria; Oceanospirillales; Halomonadaceae.
CCACGGGCGGCAGCAGUGGGGAAUAUUGGACAAUGGGCGAAAGCCUGAUCCAGCCAUGCCGCGUGUGUGAAGAAGGCCUUCGGGUUGUAAAGCACUUUCAGUGGGGAAGAAAGCCUUGGGGCUAAUACCCUCGAGGAAGGACAUCACCCACAGAAGAAGCACCGGCUAACUCCGUGCCAGCAGCCGCGGUAAUACGGAGGGUGCGAGCGUUAAUCGGAAUUACUGGGCGUAAAGCGCGCGUAGGCGGUCUGAUAAGCCGGUUGUGAAAGCCCCGGGCUCAACCUGGGAACGGCAUCCGGAACUGUCAGGCUAGAGUGCAGGAGAGGAAGGUAGAAUUCCCGGUGUAGCAGUGAAAUGCGUAGAGAUCGGGAGGAAUACCAGUGGCGAAGGCGGCCUUCUGGACUGACACUGACGCUGAGGUGCGAAAGCGUGGGUAGCAAACAGGAUUAGAUACCCUAGUAGUC